This 759-nucleotide ribosomal RNA is filed under the name Monotrichodorus sp. 1 CCN-2019. RNAcentral's name for it is "partial large subunit ribosomal RNA". It matches the Rfam family "Eukaryotic large subunit ribosomal RNA", at positions 367 to 948 of the family's 3401-position model. The record is from RNAcentral. Lineage: Eukaryota; Metazoa; Nematoda; Enoplea; Triplonchida; Trichodoridae.
AAAAGAACUUAGAGGUGAGAGUUCAACAGGGCGUAAAACCGCUUAGAAGUAAACGGAUGGAGCUGACAUUAUCUCUGUCGGAUUCAGCUGGCCUGAAGACUCUUCCUUGCGAGACCGAUCGGAAGACGGUUCGUAGGGCGUGUCGUGUCCGAAGGCUAGUGCAUUUCUGGCAGAGUGCAUCAUGACCGAUGGUUGCGUUGGCAGAAGGUUGAGCAGUUGCCGAUUGUGGGUCUUCGGACUCGGCAGUGUCCCACUGUUCUUCCCGAACCGGAUUGCGACCAUCGGAGUCCUGCCGCAGCCGACUUGUCUCGCACUGCGUUGUCACUUGGUCGAUCGAAUCGUGUGGUUCAGCUUGCUGGAUCAUGCACCCCCCGGCCUUGUGUGCUUCGCUUUGGCGAGAUGCUGCUAAUGGUCUAUGGUGUCCGCGUCAGUAGCCCAUCCGACCCGUCUUGAAACACGGACCAAGGAGUCUAACAUGUGCGCAAGUCACUGGGUGGAAAACCCAAAGGCGAAAUGAAAGUAAAGGCCGCAAGGCUGAGGUACGAUGUCUGUCUCUGAUGGACCGCAGUACCGCCCCAUCGCACCGGCUCGUCCGAGCGGUGGAGGUAGAGCGCACACGUUGGGACCCGAAAGAUGGUGAACUAUGCCUGAGCAGGAUGAAGCCAGAGGAAACUCUGGUGGAGGUCCGUAGCGGUUCUGACGUGCAAAUCGAUCGUCAGACUUGGGUAUAGGGGCGAAAGACUAAUCGAACCAUCUAGU